Long non-coding RNA from Bombyx mori (domestic silkworm), 426 nucleotides. RefSeq lists it as uncharacterized. NCBI's taxonomy places the organism in Eukaryota, Metazoa, Arthropoda, Insecta, Lepidoptera, Bombycidae. The transcript has 2 exons. The record is from RefSeq and is a predicted model, not a curated record.
GUGAAAUAACUAAAUUAAAGUGUGUAAUUUUAAUGUCUAACGUUUUUUAUAAAAAAACCCUUCAAUGUUGAUUAUAAAAUGUACAAUAAACUGUUACUGUUGUAACUAUACUGAGACUUUAGAACUUAUAUCUCAAGGUGCUGUCAGAUAGUCAGAGAGGUUGUUGUGGCUAAAAUGGCGAGAAGCAAGUGGUGUCACCUGCGAUAGGAGGAUGCCCGUUAAGCUCAAGGGUAUGAUCUUUAAGACCAUAAUAAGGCCUAUUCUUAUGUAUGGCAGCGAAACAUGGGCGGCAACCAAAAGGAACGUGCAUACCAUUCAAGUUGCUGAAAUGAAGAUGCUGAGGUGGAUGUGCGGCGUGACUAGGCUCGAUAAAAUCCGCAACGAGUACGUGCGUGGAAGUCUCGGUGUACGGGACAUCGCCGACAA